ACGGGUGAGUAACACGUGAGUAACCUGCCCCAGACUUUGGGAUAACCCUCGGAAACGGGGGCUAAUACCGAAUAUGACUCCUGGCCGCAUGGCUGGGUGUGGAAAGUUUUUCGGUUUGGGAUGGACUCGCGGCCUAUCAGCUUGUUGGUGGGGUAAUGGCCUACCAAGGCGACGACGGGUAGCCGGCCUGAGAGGGCGACCGGCCACACUGGGACUGAGACACGGCCCAGACUCCUACGGGAGGCAGCAGUGGGGAAUAUUGCACAAUGGGCGGAAGCCUGAUGCAGCGACGCCGCGUGAGGGAUGACGGCCUUCGGGUUGUAAACCUCUUUCAGCAGGGACGAAGCGCAAGUGACGGUACCUGCAGAAGAAGCGCCGGCCAACUACGUGCCAGCAGCCGCGGUAAGACGUAGGGCGCGAGCGUUGUCCGGAUUUAUUGGGCGUAAAGAGCUCGUAGGCGGCUUGUCGCGUCGACUGUGAAAACCCGAGGCUCAACUUCGGGCUUGCAGUCGAUACGGGCAGGCUAGAGUUCGGUAGGGGAGACUGGAAUUCCUGGUGUAGCGGUGAAAUGCGCAGA
RNAcentral lists this ribosomal RNA (577 nucleotides) under uncultured Actinoplanes sp. RNAcentral describes it as "bacterial SSU rRNA". It matches the Rfam family "Bacterial small subunit ribosomal RNA", at positions 102 to 694 of the family's 1533-position model. Lineage: Bacteria; Bacillati; Actinomycetota; Actinomycetes; Micromonosporales; Micromonosporaceae. The record is from RNAcentral.